RNAcentral lists this ribosomal RNA (373 nucleotides) under uncultured Sphingobacteriales bacterium. Its description in RNAcentral is "bacterial SSU rRNA". It matches the Rfam family "Bacterial small subunit ribosomal RNA", at positions 1006 to 1382 of the family's 1533-position model. Lineage: Bacteria; Pseudomonadati; Bacteroidota; Sphingobacteriia; Sphingobacteriales. The record is from RNAcentral.
AGAUAGAAUUCCUUCGGGCUUCUGCAAGGUGCUGCAUGGUUGUCGUCAGCUCGUGCCGUGAGGUGUCGGGUUAAGUCCCAUAACGAGCGCAACCCUUAUCGUUAGUUGCCAUCUGGUAAUGCAGGGGACUCUAGCGAAACUGCCACCGUAAGGUGAGAGGAAGUGGGGAUGACGUCAAAUCAGCACGGCCCUUAUGUCCAGGGCUACACACGUGUUACAAUGGCCAGUACAAAGGGCAGCUACCUGGUGACAGGAUGCUAAUCUCCAAAACUGGUCUCAGUUCGGAUCGAAGUCUGCAACUCGACUUCGUGAAGUUGGAUUCGCUAGUAAUCGCGCAUCAGCAACGGCCGCGGUCGAAUACGUUCCGGGCCUU